UAUAUAUAUAUAUAUAUAUAUAUAUAUAAGUCUAGUUUUGGUUUCUACUUGCUUCCCCACACAGACUCUAGAACUCAGUUAUUCAUAAAUUCUAGUAGUCUAUUCUACAGACUCCUCUCUGCUUAAGAUUCUGUUUUCAUAAAAGAUAUGAUUUUAUUUCUUUAAACAGAAUCAGCGUCUGUAGAAAUACUUUUUUCAUGGUUAAAAUAUUCUUAAAAGUACCUCAGGAACUAAAGCUGAUCUGUAACUUACCCAGUAGUCACUGAUGCACAUCCACAUCCUUCAUGAUCAUUGAUUAACUUAAAAAAUGAAUCUGAAGGAUGCAUUUUUAAAAAAAAAUAUUGUUUUAAAGCAAAACAUGUUGUUAAUAUUUAUUGUUUUCAUGUAGUUCGUAUCUAUAAUCUUGAAAUACAUUUUUUUUAAAGAAUGAACGCAACAUACACUGACCUCCCUGCUGAAGGGGAAAAAAAAUCCACACACAAUAGAAACCCUCAUAGACGUUGUAAUGGUUUUAAUGGGAAUUGUAUUGCGUUUUAAUGGAAACUGUAAUGGUCCCUGCGGAUCUCUACUGGUAACUUGUUGCUUUCUACUGGCAGCAUGUUAUGCCUAGUGGAUACCAUUAAGGACCAGUAAUGAUUUUAAUGGUUGGCUGAUUGUUUGUAAUGGUGCUUGUAGUGGAAACCAUUAGAAUUUCUGUGAUGGUUUCUAUUUUUGGGGGGGUUUUUCAGCAGGGAUGUUGUACACACCUCCUGCUAUCUACGCUGAGCUAAAACACUGCUAGGCACUUUCCUUUCCUCUUCAUCUGCGCAGAAAUAUAUUUAACAUCAUAAGUUUUGCCCCUGAAUAAAUUAUGACAAGCAAGUCAUCAUUUUAGAGCAGAAAUUACCCAGAACUGUGGCAACUAAAUUAUUAUGCAGAAUGUUGUGAGCGUGUAUUGUUUGCAACUGACAUCUAAAUUAGACCUCUUAAGUUUUCCUAAUCCGGCGUCUUUUAUUUUUAAUCUUGUCGAAAUGCCUGACGUUUUUCACGUGAACACGGUUAUACGACGUGAGCCGUUCUUUGAGAUGGUUAAAUCGUAUGUCAGCGGGUGAAUAGCUAGCGGUAGUUGUAGCUGGAGUGAGUAAACGGUGCUAUGGAGCUAGACGUUACACUAUACCUCACUAGAUUACCCACAAUCCUCUAUUCCUACUGCUUAUAGUUGCUCUCCCCCCCCAGCCCCCCCCCCUCAGUGAAUGCAGGACUGUGUGAUGUCUCAACAUAAACGCAUGCAUACACACAAUCUCGCAAUCCAGCCAGAGCCUUUAUUCUUUAUACAGGAUGUGAACGAAGCUAAUGUUGUAGAUCGCUAGCAUGUAGCCGUUAAGGCAUAUAUCAGGCCAGCGUGAUCAUGCCAACGAGACAAACCAAUUGGGAACGUCGACAUUUUCCUCAGAUGUGUUGAUUAAAUUACUAAAAAAGGAUCCUUACGGCUAAUAUUUCUCUGUAACUAUAUUUAGUUAUAGGGGGGAUAUAUUCAACGAUGUAUCACAAAUUGUGUAAAGUGGAUGCGACCAUUUUUAAGUACUAAAUACUACAAUAGUGAGUAAACACAGCAAACUACAUCUAAAGGUAGCAAAUAUCUCGAGGUGAUGGUCACGAGGUCUUUGGCGAAGCCUUCGUUCAGACUGAACAAACUGAAACGGAUGAAAUGAAACAAAUGGCUGAAGCUAAUUUUGCCUUCUUUAAAUGUUGUCGUGCUAGCUAGCAACAUUAGCUUUCGUUCAUUCUUAAGGCACCCAGCUAGCAAUGAAUGUCUUGACAGUUAGCAGGUGCAUCAUGAUCAUCGGUAGCAUCGGCAUUUUGGUCAUAAGAGCUCAGCAAACCUGAUUGUGUCCCCGUGUUACUGAAUGUAGCGAGCAAAGCCAGUUCUCUUCACUGCCACCAGCAGAAAUGUUUGACCAUGUCCUGUUACCAUAGCCAUUACUCGUUUGCAUAGCAACAAGGAGAUCAAUGUCUUAAGGAAAAGACUGGAAGUAAAAUAAACUGGAAGUUCAGAGAGGCUGUGAAUUUUGGUUAUUCCUUGAACCCCCCCAAAAAAAAAAAAAAAAACCACAACAGACAAACAAACAGAAAAAUCAAUGUCACAAUUUCAGUUUUCUUAUUUGUUUUGGACAUUUUUUAUGACGGUAAAGUAAUACUUUGCACGUUUCUGGUUGGUCGGAACUGCUCCACAUUGUCAAUAUUAUCAAGCAAUACUGCUGUACUUGUGUAAUGUUGUACCAUUUUUCCCAUUAUAUAUGACAGGCUCACGAUGUAGUUAGCUAGCUAGUUGUCAAGUCAUAUAUCUGGACAAUGUGAAGAAGGGGUGGAUGGUUAAAACAAGAUGAAUCAACUGAGAAUAUAAGAUUUCCUUAGAUGGGUUGAUGAAUUAUUAAGUUAAAGCUCUGUACAGCUAGAUUUAUCAGUUUCUGCCAAAUUCAAAAAAUGGGUGGUGUCUGCAGUGGUCACCAACCCUCUUCCAAAAGAUCUACCUUCCUGCAGGUUUAGCUGGCAAUGAUUAGAUGGUCAGGUGGGCACCGUUAUGGCUGGAGCUAAAGUCUUCAGGAAGGUAGAUCUCCAGGAACAGGGUUGGUGACCACUGCUUGAGAGGAUUGAGAAAAAAGCUAAUGGCUGGCCUGGUCUUCGAAAGGAAAUGUAGCAUGGUGAAAUGAAUUCAUCAAAACCUCUACGCGUGUGAGUCAGUCGUAUAGCUUGUAUAAUACAGGAUAGUAUCAUCAUCAUCAUCAUCAUCAUCAUCAUCAUCAUACAUCUGGGUUAAGUUUCCUAAAAGCAUCCCAGUGUUAAAAUCAGAGAAUGUGAUCCUUCAGCUGACAUUUAUACAGUAUGUUGUGGCUUUAAUGUGUUUAGAAAACAAUGUCUAUUAGUUUGUUUGUUUUUUAACUUUGUAUAGAAAAAUCUACACAAAACUGUAGCAAAUCUGUGACCGUCCAUGUGUUCACUAGAUUUCAUUGAAAAGGUAAACUGUACCGGUCAAAUUACUGACUGUAUCCCAUGAGUAGACCUGAUGAUAAAGUGGCAAUGCGGUGCGUAUCAUCUGUAUGCUGUAUAUAGCUACGACUUGUUGGUUGUUGGUGAUGAAACUUUGUUUUAAAAGCUGUAAUGGGAAGGCCUUCUUCACACACAGCACGUCUUCAUACGCCAAACAGCACGUCUCGGACGUCCACGUGAGCCAUGUACUGAUAAUCAACUACACAAUAUUUUAUGAUGUUCGUCACUCACUGUAUUGUCAGGCUCGAGGCUUUAAGGAAAUUUGUCUUUAAAAAAUUCAAAAAGAAAAAUGACUAGAGAAAAGUAGAG
This is a long non-coding RNA of Ictalurus punctatus (channel catfish), 3336 nucleotides long. The record is from Ensembl. Lineage: Eukaryota; Metazoa; Chordata; Actinopteri; Siluriformes; Ictaluridae.